AUCUCGGCAUGGUUGAAUCAGACUCCUUGUAUCAGUUUAUCCUUCUGCUUCAAUAUGCACUUCCACCUGCAAUGACAGUAGGUAUGGCAACUUGAUACUAAAAGUUGGAACUAAUAUUUUAUUUUUCCGAUUUGACGGCAAGAAGUAUCCUCGAGCCAGCUACAAAACCAGUGAAAAAAUUACCUGAUGAAUACUAAACCUGCUAAUCUGUUUGUUAUUUGUUGUUAAAUUGACAGGGGUUAUUGCACAGCUUUUCAAGGCCGGUGAAGGUGAAUGUUCAGUCAUUAUGCUGUGGAGUUAUGCUUUAUCAGCACUGUCUCUUACCCUCUGGUCAACCUUUUACAUGUGGCUGCUGCAGUAAGCACAAUUAGGGUUCCUUCUAUUCCCUGGAACUACCCUGCCAUGACAAAAUGAGGCCGCCGCAAGCUUAUCUUCAUCCUUCAGGCACAUCGAUCACAUGGGG
Molecule: long non-coding RNA, 463 nt
Filed under: Populus trichocarpa (black cottonwood)
Lineage: Eukaryota; Viridiplantae; Streptophyta; Magnoliopsida; Malpighiales; Salicaceae
Description: long non-coding RNA (PTRI_LNC002794)
Source: RNAcentral